GGCGGCUCGAGUGCUGUUCUCCGUCCCAAACAGACAGGCUGCCCUAACACGCCGCCACCACCACUGCCCCGCCGUCACCGCCUCCGCCUUGUCCAGGCGAAGGAUGGGUAGCGUAAAGUUGAAAAGAGCGUGACGUAUUGCGACAGAUGAGAUCAAGUGACUGGAGUGUUUGGAGAGGACGGAAGGAGCCGCGGUGACGCCUCGCCUCGCCUUGCCGUCCCCUGCUAAUAAAGUCUAGCGGAGGCGCCCCAGCAGCGCCCUCCUCCCACCCGGACCGCGGCGAGACAGUGCGGGGCCACGCUGACGCCCUGCAGUCACCCCCUAAACAUGCUGGUGAGGAAAACAACAACAAUACAAAAGCAGAAUAGCAAUACAAAAAUAAACCAAAGUCAACCCUGAAAUUCAAGCGGCUCUCUCCCCAGCGUUCUCCUCCACCCUAAUGUAUCAGUUUACCAAUAAGCUGUGCCCAUCACGGUAUAUUUAUUAUAUUAUUUUAUUGCUCAUCUGUUGAGGGGAGAAUUUAACCUCGCAGUAUGAUUGAUGUUCACGAGUUCUGAAAAGAAAGACCAGAGACUCACCAUCACUGUAGUUACAAGGCUUACACACAUCUUUUGAAUAUCGUGAUAAGAAAAGACUCCUUACCGCGUGA
Eriocheir sinensis (Chinese mitten crab) is the source of this 649-nucleotide long non-coding RNA. RefSeq lists it as uncharacterized. The record is from RefSeq and is a predicted model, not a curated record. The transcript has 2 exons. Lineage: Eukaryota; Metazoa; Arthropoda; Malacostraca; Decapoda; Varunidae.